This 407-nucleotide ribosomal RNA is filed under the name uncultured bacterium. RNAcentral describes it as "partial 16S ribosomal RNA". It matches the Rfam family "Bacterial small subunit ribosomal RNA", at positions 28 to 526 of the family's 1533-position model. The record is from RNAcentral.
GACGAACGCUGGCGGCGUGCCUAAUACAUGCAAGUAGAACGCAGUUGCGAACGGGUGAGUAACGCGUAGGUAACUGCCUCAUAGCGGGGGAUAACUAUUGGAAACGAUAGCUAAUACAGCACACUGUGAGAUGGACCUGCGUUGUAUUAGCUAGUUGGGGGGGUAAAGGCUCACCAAGGAGACGAUACAUAGCCGACCUGAGCGGGUGGUCGCACACACUGUGACUGUGACACGGCCCAGACUCCUACGGGAGGCAGCAGUGGGGAAUCUUCGGCAAUGGACGGAAGUCUGACCGAGCAACGCCGCGGGAGUGUAAAAGGUUUUCGGAUCGUAAAGCUCUGUUGUUGGGGGAGCGGUAACUAACCAGAAAGGGACUGCUAACUACGUGCCAGCAGCCGCGGUAAUAC